Molecule: ribosomal RNA, 602 nt
Filed under: Massilia aurea
Lineage: Bacteria; Pseudomonadati; Pseudomonadota; Betaproteobacteria; Burkholderiales; Oxalobacteraceae
Description: partial 23S ribosomal RNA
Rfam family: Bacterial large subunit ribosomal RNA
Source: RNAcentral
GAGACGAGGAACUUAGGUUCUGAAGCAAUCGGAAGUGGUUCCAAGAAAAGCCUCUAAGCUUCAGUCAUACGAGACCGUACCGCAAACCGACACAGGUGGGCGAGAUGAGUAUUCUAAGGCGCUUGAGAGAACUCGGGAGAAGGAACUCGGCAAAUUGGUACCGUAACUUCGGGAUAAGGUACGCCCUAGUAGUUUGACCACUUUACUGUGGAAGGAUGAACGGGUUGCAAUAAAAUGGUGGCUGCGACUGUUUAAUAAAAACACAGCACUCUGCAAACACGAAAGUGGACGUAUAGGGUGUGACGCCUGCCCGGUGCUGGAAGAUUAAAUGAUGGGGUGCAAGCUCUUGAUUGAAGUCCCAGUAAACGGCGGCCGUAACUAUAACGGUCCUAAGGUAGCGAAAUUCCUUGUCGGGUAAGUUCCGACCUGCACGAAUGGCGUAACGAUGGCCACACUGUCUCCUCCCGAGACUCAGCGAAGUUGAAAUGUUUGUGAUGAUGCAAUCUACCCGCGGCUAGACGGAAAGACCCCAUGAACCUUUACUGUAGCUUUGCAUUGGACUUUGAAUCAAUCUGUGUAGGAUAGGUGGGAGGCUUUGAAGC